RNAcentral lists this ribosomal RNA (497 nucleotides) under uncultured bacterium. RNAcentral describes it as "partial 16S ribosomal RNA". It matches the Rfam family "Bacterial small subunit ribosomal RNA", at positions 28 to 507 of the family's 1533-position model. The record is from RNAcentral.
GAUGAACGCUGGCGGCGUGCCUAAAACAUGCAAGUCGAGCGAACAGACGAGGAGCUUGCUCCUCUGACGUUAGCGGCGGACGGGUGAGUAACACGUGGAUAACCUACCUAUAAGACUGGGAUAACUUCGGGAAACCGGAGCUAAUACCGGAUAACAUGUUGAACCGCAUGGUUCAACAGUGAAAGACGGUCUUGCUGUCACUUAUAGAUGGAUCCGCGCCGCAUUAGCUAGUUGGUAAGGUAACGGCUUACCAAGGCAACGAUGCGUAGCCGACCUGAGAGGGUGAUCGGCCACACUGGAACUGAGACACGGUCCAGACUCCUACGGGAGGCAGCAGUAGGGAAUCUUCCGCAAUGGGCGAAAGCCUGACGGAGCAACGCCGCGUGAGUGAAGAAGGUCUUCGGAUCGUAAAACUCUGUUAUUAGGGAAGAACAAAUGUGUAAGUAACUAUGCACGUCUUGACGGUACCUAAUCAGAAAGCCACGGCUAACUACGUG